Long non-coding RNA from Topomyia yanbarensis, 1358 nucleotides. RefSeq lists it as uncharacterized. The transcript has 4 exons. The record is from RefSeq and is a predicted model, not a curated record. NCBI's taxonomy places the organism in Eukaryota, Metazoa, Arthropoda, Insecta, Diptera, Culicidae.
GGAUGCAUGUUUGCUAAUUGAAAUUAUUCGCAAAGAUCUAGUAGAAUUAAAACUGGAGGUGCUGCGAAACGAUCCUUUUUCGACGCUAUACUCGAUUAAAACUAUCGACGCUUUGCACCUGAUGCCGGAACUGCCCACCCCGAGAGCAGAUGAGCGCUGGGGAAUGUUUUCAGCCACCUGGAGGAGGAAGUUCAGCGCGGAAGAAAUGUUACCAGACUUCGCCGAUCUGGUAUCUGGACUUUUUUGAUGAUCUCAUAGAGAUUGGGUGUGCAGAUGGGCGUUUAAAGUUCUGGGAGGGAACGACUGGUAACUUUUAGGAUAUAUAUGAAGCUGAAAACAACCACAACAAUGGGGUAACUAACAUAAACCUCGCCGGUGACAAAGUGAUAGUCGCACGGUUGAGUGAACGAAUCGAUUUUCUGAGACUGGAAACGUACACGUAAGGUUUUCAGAUCGAUUGGGGAUUUACGUCUGCAUAUGGGCGAAGUAAGUUCUAUGUUUCAAGCAAUUUUUUAAGCUCACCUAGGGCGCAGACAGAUUUUACUUGUUCUUUUAAAAUACUGUAUAUUCUAAGUCAUUUAAUUUUCAGUCUGUAAUGAGUAUGUCAUCAAGUGCCUUAAUUCUUUUUCUUUUUAGCCCACGUACGCAGCGGUUCGGCAGGAAGCAUUAGUUUAUUUCAGCAACCCGCCGGCUCAAAUCCGUCCACAGCGUUGCCAGCUCAACAUCACGCAUCCGAGGAGGAACUUCGAUGUAUCCUGGAGUUUCACCAGCAGGGUCACCGGUGACAUGUUUGGAAGUGGCGGGCGGUACAGUCAUUACUGGCAGCCAGGGCCACACUGUUAACGUGUUCCGGCUUGAUAGCCACCUAUUGCAGUUCACCCUAAACGGCCAUUGCGGUCCUAUCACAUGUAUUUUCAUAGACCAGUGGCAGGCCGAGAUGGGCGCAUCUGGUUGCCAGGAUGGUGUGCUAUGUGUGUGGGACUUGAUACGGGGUGCCUGUAUGUACAAAAUUGAAGCCCAUGACGACAUGACGUCGCACUUGCCUGUUCCCCGAGUUACGCAAUAUCGCUCGGACUGAACGAACGAAUACGGUUUUGGGAUAGAUUUCAGGGUCAGCCGCUCAACACCAUGACCGUCAGUCAUGCAUAUUCAUCGCUUGUGAUGCUGACGCUUCUGAACGAAGCCAUUGCUAGCACGAGUUUUUGAUUUGGAAGGAUAGUUGCUGAGGACCAUUCUCACAAUAAGUUUAUAAUAUCCAUUACAUGAUCAAAUGCGCUGAUGGGUUAGGCUUUGGAUUCGGCUAUAUUCCAUCGUCAUUGAAGCUAGAUCAUAGAAUCAUGUUAAUUUGACAGACUGCA